This 392-nucleotide ribosomal RNA is filed under the name uncultured bacterium. Its description in RNAcentral is "partial 16S ribosomal RNA". It matches the Rfam family "Bacterial small subunit ribosomal RNA", at positions 523 to 918 of the family's 1533-position model. The record is from RNAcentral.
AUACGGAGGAUGCGAGCGUUAUCCGGAUUUAUUGGGUUUAAAGGGAGCGUAGGCGGGCUGUUAAGCCAGCGGUCAAAUGUCAUGGCCCAACCUUGGCAUGCCGUUGGAACUGGCAGUCUUGAAUGCGCGCAAGGAAGGUGGAAUUCGUCGUGUAGCGGUGAAAUGCUUAGAUAUGACGAAGAACUCCGAUUGCGAAGGCAGCCUUCUGGAGCGUGAUUGACGCUGAGGCUCGAAAGCGCGGGUAUCAAACAGGAUUAGAUACCCUGGUAGUCCGCGCCGUAAACGAUGGAUGCCCGUCAUCGGCGACAGACAGUCGGUGACCGAGCGAAAGCAUUGAGCAUCCCACCUGGGGAGUACGCCGGCAACGGUGAAACUCAAAUGAAUUGACGGGG